AGCAACGCGAAGAACCUUACCAGGUCUUGACAUCUUUUGACAACCCUAGAGAUAGGGCUUUCCCCUUCGGGGGACAGAGUGACAGGUGGUGCAUGGUUGUCGUCAGCUCGUGUCGUGAGAUGUUGGGUUAAGUCCCGCAACGAGCGCAACCCUUGAUUUUAGUUGCCAGCAUUCAGUUGGGCACUUUAAGAUGACUGCCGGUGACAAACCGGAGGAAGGUGGGGAGGACGUCAAAUCAUCAUGCCCCUUAUGACCUGGGCUACACACGUGCUACAAUGGACGGUACAAAGGGCUGCAAGACCGCGAGGUUUAGCCAAUCCCAUAAAACCGUUCUCAGUUCGGAUUGUAGGCUGCAACUCGCCUACAUGAAGCUGGAAUCGCUAGUAAUCGCGGAUCAGCAUGCCGCGGUGAAUACGUUCCCGGGCCUUGUACACCCCGCCCGUCACCCCACGAGAGUUUGUAACACCCGAAGUCGGUGAGGUAACCU
Molecule: ribosomal RNA, 487 nt
Filed under: Bacillus sp. MAL 4
Lineage: Bacteria; Bacillati; Bacillota; Bacilli; Caryophanales; Bacillaceae
Description: bacterial SSU rRNA
Rfam family: Bacterial small subunit ribosomal RNA
Source: RNAcentral